ACUGAACGCUGGCGGCAUGCUUUACACAUGCAAGUCGAACGGUAACAGGCCGCAAGGUGCUGACGAGUGGCGAACGGGUGAGUAAUGCAUCGGAACGUGCCCAGUCGUGGGGGAUAACUACUCGAAAGAGUAGCUAAUACCGCAUACGAUCUAUGGAUGAAAGCGGGGGACCGUAAGGCCUCGCGCGAUUGGAGCGGCCGAUGUCAGAUUAGGUAGUUGGUGGGGUAAAGGCUCACCAAGCCAACGAUCUGUAGCUGGUCUGAGAGGACGACCAGCCACACUGGGACUGAGACACGGCCCAGACUCCUACGGGAGGCAGCAGUGGGGAAUUUUGGACAAUGGGCGCAAGCCUGAUCCAGCAAUGCCGCGUGCAGGAAGAAGGCCUUCGGGUUGUAAACUGCUUUUGUACGGAACGAAACGGCUCUGGUUAAUACCCGGGGCUAAUGACGGUACCGUAAGAAUAAGCACCGGCUAACUACGUG
This 482-nucleotide ribosomal RNA is filed under the name uncultured bacterium. RNAcentral describes it as "partial 16S ribosomal RNA". It matches the Rfam family "Bacterial small subunit ribosomal RNA", at positions 30 to 507 of the family's 1533-position model. The record is from RNAcentral.